Molecule: long non-coding RNA, 868 nt
Organism: Talpa occidentalis (Iberian mole)
Lineage: Eukaryota; Metazoa; Chordata; Mammalia; Eulipotyphla; Talpidae
Exons: 3
Source: RefSeq, a predicted model, not a curated record
CUCCUGCUAGCAGUGACCUUGGGAAAGUUCUUAAACUUGCUGAAUCUUUGUGGUUCCUUCUAUGAAGCUGGGAUUCCUAACAUUUUUCAAAGGUUAAACGAGAAAUGUCUAAAAAAUGCUUAGCCCAGUGCCUGGCAUGGCUUCAGUGCCUAAUAAAUAGCAGCUAUCGGCAGCUGACUGACACAUCAUCUUGGCCUAAUGUAUUUUUCGAGACUUGAUUCAAUGACCUCAGACUUUCUUCGGCUGUUCCAGAGUUAAUAAAUUGAAGAGCACUUGCAGCCAAACCUCACUUAUGGACUAUUUUGUGUUGUUCUCUGUCGACUAAGAAAUUGUAAGUAACGGCAGGGGAGGACCCUGCUGUGUUCCAGUUCCAGUUUAAGGCCAACUUCAUGCCGAGGACUGAGUAACCAGCCACCUGUUGAUUGAUUGUUCGAGUGGCAAGAGCUUCUGAAAGAGCAUGAACAAACAGGUACAGGUAAACCCCAGGAGCAGAAAGAUCUUAUUUUAAUUGCCUGUAUCAUCAGUGUCUCCACUGCUAUCUACUCAAGACUAUUUGUUCAAUGAAGGUUCAUCUACUCAUUCACUCCAGUGUCUUGGCCUCCCUGGUGACACAGGGGUUAAAGACAGCGUUAUCAAGCUACUGCCCACCACUACAGCAUGAGUUUGAUCCCCAGCCAACCAGGGAGCAACCCACAUGGCACAACAGACCUCUCCUGUCUCGCCUGCUGCCCCCCUCAGCAGUGUAUUUCAGUGGAUCUGCCUGUUUUGCUCCCCAUUCUCUCUGGUGAAUCGUCUCACCCCCCAACCUCUGGCCGACACCCCAAUUCUUGUAUGCAUAAAUAAAUUAAUGUUAAAAAAAUAAAGCUAA